GCUUGUCUCAAAGAUUAAGCCAUGCAUGUCUUAGUGUAAAUAACUCUUAUGAAACUGCGAAUGGCUCAUUAAAUCAGUUAUCGUUUAUUUGAUGGUCCCUUACUACAUGGAUAACCGUAGUAAUUCUAGAGCUAAUACAUGCACUGAAGCCCCGACUCCGGCAACGGCAGAAGGGGUGCUUUUAUUAGAUCAAAACCAAUGGGAGGCGGCCGUCAAAAAGCCGCCACCGUCCUUGAUGGUGACUCUGAAUAACUUUGGCUGAUCGCACGGCUUUAACGCCGGCGACGCAUCUUUCAAAUGUCUGCCUUAUCAACUUUCGAUGGUAGGUUAUGCGCCUACCAUGGUUGCAACGGGUAACGGGGAAUCGGGGUUCGAUUCCGGAGAGGGAGCCUGAGAAACGGCUACCACAUCCAAGGAAGGCAGCAGG
This 427-nucleotide ribosomal RNA is filed under the name uncultured fungus. RNAcentral describes it as "partial small subunit ribosomal RNA". It matches the Rfam family "Eukaryotic small subunit ribosomal RNA", at positions 30 to 432 of the family's 1831-position model. The record is from RNAcentral. Lineage: Eukaryota; Fungi.